This 511-nucleotide ribosomal RNA is filed under the name Trichopeza longicornis. Its description in RNAcentral is "partial 16S ribosomal RNA". It matches the Rfam family "Bacterial large subunit ribosomal RNA", at positions 1825 to 2597 of the family's 2925-position model. Lineage: Eukaryota; Metazoa; Arthropoda; Insecta; Diptera; Empididae. The record is from RNAcentral.
GUCCUUUAGAAAUAAAUUUAAGGUCUAACCUGCCCACUGAAAAUUUUAAAUGGCCGCAGUAUUCUAACUGUGCAAAGGUAGCAUAAUCAUUAGUUUUUUAAUUGAAGGCUAGAAUGAAUGGUUGGACGAGAUAUUAACUGUUUCAUUUAAAUUUAUAAUAGAAUUUUAUUUUUUAGUUAAAAAGCUAAAAUAAUUUUAAAAGACGAGAAGACCCUAUAGAUCUUUAUAAUUUAAUAUUUUUAAUUAUAAAGAUUAUUUAAAUUAUAAUUUAUUAAAUUAUUUUGUUGGGGUGACAUUAAAAUUUGAAUAACUUUUAAUAAUUAUUAAACAUUUAUUUAUGAAUAAUUGAUCCAUUAUUAUUGAUUAAAAAUUUAAGUUACCUUAGGGAUAACAGCGUAAUUUUUUUGGAGAGUUCAUAUCGAUAAAAAAGAUUGCGACCUCGAUGUUGGAUUAAGAUAUAAUUUUGGGUGUAGCCGUUCAAAUUUUAAGUCUGUUCGACUUUUAAAUUCUU